Molecule: ribosomal RNA, 801 nt
Filed under: uncultured bacterium
Lineage: Bacteria
Description: bacterial SSU rRNA
Rfam family: Bacterial small subunit ribosomal RNA
Source: RNAcentral
GGCAGCACGGGAGCAAUCCUGGUGGCGAGUGGCGAACGGGUGAGUAAUAUAUCGGAACGUGCCCAAUCGUGGGGGAUAACGCAGCGAAAGCUGUGCUAAUACCGCAUACGAUCUACGGAUGAAAGCGGGGGACUCGCAAGAGCCUCGCGCGAAUGGAGCGGCCGAUAUCAGAUUAGCUAGUUGGCGGGGUAAAGGCCCACCAAGGCGACGAUCUGUAGCUGGUCUGAGAGGACGACCAGCCACACUGGAACUGAGACACGGUCCAGACUCCUACGGGAGGCAGCAGUGGGGAAUUUUGGACAAUGGGCGAAAGCCUGAUCCAGCAAUGCCGCGUGCAGGAUGAAGGCCUUCGGGUUGUAAACUGCUUUUGUACGGAACGAAACGACUCUUCUUAAUACGAGGGGUUAAUGACGGUACCGUAAGAAUAAGCACCGGCUAACUACGUGCCAGCAGCCGCGGUAAUACGUAGGGUGCGAGCGUUAAUCGGAAUUACUGGGCGUAAAGCGUGCGCAGGCGGUGAUGUAAGACAGAUGUGAAAUCCCCGGGCUCAACCUGGGACCUGCAUUUGUGACUGCAUCGCUAGAGUACGGUAGAGGGGGAUGGAAUUCCGCGUGUAGCAGUGAAAUGCGUAGAUAUGCGGAGGAACACCGAUGGCGAAGGCAAUCCCCUGGACCUGUACUGACGCUCAUGCACGAAAGCGUGGGGAGCAAACAGGAUUAGAUACCCUGGUAGUCCACGCCCUAAACGAUGUCAACUGGUUGUUGGGUCUUUGCUGACUCAGUAACGAAGCUAACGCGUGAA